RNAcentral lists this ribosomal RNA (487 nucleotides) under uncultured bacterium. RNAcentral describes it as "bacterial SSU rRNA". It matches the Rfam family "Bacterial small subunit ribosomal RNA", at positions 28 to 507 of the family's 1533-position model. The record is from RNAcentral.
GAUGAACGCUGGCGGCGUGCUUAACACAUGCAAGUCGAACGGAUUUAACAGAAAGCUUGCUUUCGGUUAAAUUAGUGGCGGACGGGUGAGUAGCGCGUGGAUAACCUGCCGUAUACAGGGGGAUAACACUUAGAAAUAGGUGCUAAUACCGCAUAAGCGCACAGUUUCGCAUGAGACAGUGUGAAAAACUCCGGUGGUAUACGAUGGAUCCGCGUCUGAUUAGGUAGUUGGUGGGGUAACGGCUCACCAAGCCGACGAUCAGUAGCCGGCCUGAGAGGGUGAACGGCCACAUUGGGACUGAGACACGGCCCAAAACUCCUACGGGAGGCAGCAGUGGGGAAUAUUGCACAAUGGGGGAAACCCUGAUGCAGCGACGCCGCGUGAGUGAAGAAGUAUUUCGGUACGUAAAGCUCUAUCAGCAAGGAAGAAAUACCGACCUUUGGUCGCUAGACGGUACUUGACUAAAGAAGCCCCGGCUAACUACGUG